UAGGGAAUCUUCGGCAAUGGGCGAAAGCCUGACGGAGCAACGCCGCGUGAGUGAUGAAGGUCUUCGGAUCGUAAAACUCUGUUAUUAGGGAAGAACAAAUGUGUAAGUAACUAUGCACGUCUUGACGGUACCUAAUCAGAAAGCCACGGCUAACUACGUGCCAGCAGCCGCGGUAAUACGUAGGUGGCAAGCGUUAUCCGGAUUUAUUGGGCGUAAAGCGAGCGCAGGCGGUUAGAAAAGUCUGAAGUGAAAGGCAGUGGCUCAACCAUUGUAGGCUUUGGAAACUGUUUAACUUGAGUGCAGAAGGGGAGAGUGGAAUUCCAUGUGUAGCGGUGAAAUGCGUAGAUAUAUGGAGGAACACCGGUGGCGAAAGCGGCUCUCUGGUCUGUAACUGACGCUGAGGCUCGAAAGCGUGGGGAGCGAACAGG
Molecule: ribosomal RNA, 428 nt
Filed under: Bacteroidota bacterium
Lineage: Bacteria; Pseudomonadati; Bacteroidota
Description: Bacteroidetes bacterium partial 16S ribosomal RNA
Rfam family: Bacterial small subunit ribosomal RNA
Source: RNAcentral